Amphibalanus amphitrite is the source of this 9301-nucleotide RNA transcript. RefSeq lists it as uncharacterized. The record is from RefSeq and is a predicted model, not a curated record. NCBI's taxonomy places the organism in Eukaryota, Metazoa, Arthropoda, Thecostraca, Balanomorpha, Balanidae. The transcript is spliced from 3 exons.
CGGCGAGGAUCUUUGUCGAUAACCGGCACAUGCUGCCGAGCUCGCGAUUUUGCUCUUCACUAAUUUUAUUUGGUUUGUGGUGGAUUAAAUUUGUAGACCCUUAGAAUGGAUCGGUAAGGACUUAAGUUAUUUAUUUGGAAAAUUGUAUGCUACGUUUUGGUUAAGUUUAUUUACGUUAUUUGUCUCUGUAAAACGUGCUACGACGUCAAAACAAACACCUGUGACCGAAACGAACAACGAAAACGAUACGAAGAAGCGAUUUGAGACAAAGCGACCCGCGUCUGUAUGAUAUUCUUGAAACCGUUGAAAUACAUGUAGUACGUUCAUCGCGUUAGUCAAGAGGACGUGGGGCCGCUACAGUUUCAAGAAUAUCUGUCCCCGACUGCAGCAUAUCAGGAUAAAUCCUCUCUACCGUCACGCGGCCGGUUUGGACAGACGUCUACCCACAGUAAGUGACGAGCUGCUGCAGCUGCAGUUCAAACUUCGACAUUGUGACCUCAGAAAAUCCGGACACAUGAACUAAGAUCGUCUGAGAGACUAGCAGUAAACGUGAUUAUGCCCGUGCUAUGUUGUUACUUGUACUUGGAUUAAGUGAGCAAAGCAAGACAUCUAUGUUCUAAUGUUUUUCAUCGCGAAACGUCUGUUUUGAGCUUAUAUAUUCAGGUAAAUUUAGCAGGUGAAGCUUGGUGCGUUCACCACGGAGCGACCCCACUCUGUCUCGUGUAACUGAACUGUGACUAAGCAUCAUGGACAAUUUGAGAGUUUCGGAAUUGCGUGAGCAGUUGCGUCAGAGAGGUUUGAGUCAAAGGGGUACCAAAAAGACGCUUCUGCACCGGUUACGGACAGCUAUGGCCGAGGCAGACACCGACGACGAUUCCACUAAGCCGAGAUCGACAAAUUCACUACAGUAUUCCACGAACUCUAUAAGAAAAGCGGACCGAUCUACCGAAUCUUUAUCUAGCUCUGUUCACUCUGCGCAAUCUGGCUCUUGCAUAUCGGAAUCACUGUUUAUCAAGCAAGCCAACGAGGCUGCGAAAAGAGCGGGUUUAGAAGCCAGAAUGAUGCUUCUUGCUGAGAAGCAGAGAUUAACAGAGGAAACAAGGUUAGCUAGACAGCGGGAGCUCGAACUAGAAUUACAACAAGAGAAACUCGACCUGCAGAUGCAAAUAUUGGAUUCUGCAGCGCGAGAGAAAGAAUUUGAAAAAUUCCAGGUUCACCUCGAAAAUAGUACAGCUGUCAAUCCAUCAAUUACUAAGCAGGAGGCGCAAAGGGAAAUUCGUCCUACACUUUUCAGAGAGAAUAAAGCUACGGCAGCUAGUAUGAGUGAAGAUUGUGUAGGUGUCGAGGGCAUGGUCUCGAGGGGGCAGAACACUGAUGUUGAGGGCAGGUAUUGUCUGACUGCUACUAAAACUGAAUCACCAGCACACAAGCAGACAAGUUUUUGCAGUGAAGCAACAGCCCAGGCAUAUGACCUAACCACUGUACCCCCUGACCUAUUCACGCAAAUGUUGGGAUUAACUGAAAGAAGCACCAUUCCGCGAGUGGAAAUAGAAAAGUUUGAUGGGGAAGUGGCAUAUUAUCGAUCUUUUAUACGCGCUUUCGAGCACCUCAUCUGCAAUAAAGUUCAAAGCGAUGACGAGAAACUAUACUAUUUGGAGCAAUAUACAACAGGCCAGCCUCGAGAGGUUGUUAGAGGCUGUCUCCAUAUGCCUGAAGACAAGGGAUACAAAGAAGCCAGACGUUUGCUCGAGGCAAGAUAUGGAAAUCAGUAUAAAAUUGCAGCACGAUCAGUCGAUAGAAUCUUGAACUGGCCAGCAAUCAAGGUGGACGAAAUAGACGCCAUGGAUGACUUUUCUAUCGCUCUUCGCACCUGCUACAAUUCCAUGGCGGGCAUGGUUACAGAAACCUCGGAAUUGGAUCACCCUAAAACAAUACGUAAAAUUUUGGAAAAAUUUCCGCCGACCAUUCAGGACCGUUGGCGUCGGCUUGCUGAAGAUGUUCGUGAACACAAGAACAGAAUAGUCACCUUUAAAGAUUUAGUAGAUUUUGUGGAAAGAGAAGCCAGGAUUGCGACAAACCCUUUGUUCGGUCGCCACCUGUUCCCCGCCACCAGAGGCAAGCCGGAAGGGCAAAGAAGUGGACCAGCGAACCGUUACAGCCUUGCUGCUCAUAUUGGUCCAGCUAACCACGGCGGUCAGCCAGUGCCUUGCCUGUGGUGUAAAGCGAUGCAUCCUCUCGAUGAAUGCGCCCAUUUCGUCCAAAAUCCAAUGGAGGUGAAAAGGGAGUUUAUCCGAAACAAUUCGCUUUGCUUCGGAUGCCUGGUCCAAGGUCACGUAGCAAAAAGCUGUACAAAUCGUAGUGUAUGUCGCGAAUGUAAAGGGAAGCAUGCUACCGCCUUACAUUCGCCCCCAGGCGAGGUACAGAGCACACGAAGAACGACGACGUAUGAAGCCAUAAAAAACGCUAGAGUUGAUAUUAACAAUGAGGCGUCUUUAGCAUCGUGUGGAAUGGCGAUUGUACCGGUUAAAGUAAGGACCAGGACUGGACACUGUGUGGAAACUUAUGCAUUCCUAGACAAUGGCAGCUCGGCUUCAUUCUGUACUGAAUCACUCUGCAAAAGACUACACGUUUCCGACACAAAGCCCAUCACAUUGAAGCUCACAACUGUUCAUUCACAUAAGAAAACAUUGCUGAGCAAGAGGAUCGACGGACUUAUGUUAAGUGACCUGGAUGAGAACGAGCAUAUUCCACUUCCGUCAAUCUUCACCCUUAGUUACAUACCUGUAUCGGAGGACGAUAUUCCAACAUAUCAUGACAUCAGUAAGUUUCCGUACCUCAGUGAUAUUGAUAUGCCCCGCAUCAAUGCUGGAAUAGAGUUAAUGAUUGGGAACAACGUCCCGCAGGCUAUGGAACCGUGGGAGGUGCGUCAUAGUCAAAUGAACGGUCCUUACGCCAUACGAACCAAGCUGGGGUGGGUCAUCAACGGACCUGUCAGAGACCUCAGAGCGAACGUAAUACACGCGAAUGGAACACGCGCCGCGGCGUUCCAUCACGGGCUCGAUGAGACCUUACAAAAUAUGUAUGAACAAGAAUUUCCAGAGAAAAAUUUUUCCGUCGCAAAGGGGAUGUCACAUGAAGAUCGAAGAUGGAUGGCAAUGGUUCAAGAAAGUUGUAGAGUGAGUGCUGAUGGUCAUUACGAGAUAGCCUUGCCAUUCUGCCAGGCGAAUCCCGAGCUCCCAAAUAAUCUGGAGUUGGCAAUAAGAAGACUUGAGGGACUCAAAAGGAAACUUAUGAAAGAUAACCGAUUAAGAGAGCACUACACGGCGACUAUGACAGAUAUGCUCUCCAAGGGUUACAUAGAAAGGGCACCCGAGCUCGAUUCAAUGACUAAAGGUGGGAAGAAAUGGUAUCUCCCACACCAUGGGGUGUAUCAUCCGCAAAAACCACAUAAAGUUCGUAUCGUUUUCGACGCGGCAGCUAGCUACAAAGGCACGUCCUUGAACGACGCAUUGCUACAGGGACCCGACUUAACCAAUUCCCUUAUCGACGUACUAUUACGGUUUCGAUGGGCUCCUGUAUGCUUUACGGCGGACAUAGAAGCCAUGUUCCAUCAAGUACGAGUACCCGAUCGCGACAGAGACUUUUUACGGUUUCUCUGGUGGACUGGUGGCGACUUGACUGAUCAGCCAGCUGAAUACAGAUUUACUGUACAUCCUUUCGGAGCCACAUCAUCACCGGCGUGCGCCAAUUACGCCUUGCGAAGGGCCGCCACUGACCACGGAUCACACUUCAGCGCAGAUACUGUGGAGACCAUUCUAUACAACUUUUACGUUGACGACUGCCUUAAGUCGGUUGAAACAGGUGACGAUGGAAUCAGGAUCGGUCAAGAGCUGAUAGAAUUAUGCUCACGAGGAGGCUUCAACUUAACAAAGUUUGUCAGUAAUUGCAGCGCGCUCUCUCCUCAUUUGGACAAUGACAAGAGCAAUUGUUGCAUUGAAUUUGAUCAGGAAAGGGGUCUUGCACGGAAGGCUCUUGGAGUAAAAUGGUCUCUAGACACUGACAGUUUUAGUUUUUCGGCGGCCAUAAAAGAAAGGCCCAUGUCCAAACGCGGUAUUCUCGCAAUCGUAGGCUCAGUGUAUGAUCCGUUUGGUUUGAUUUCCCCUUACGUUUUAAUCGCAAGACAUCUAUUGCGAGACCUGUGCAGAAUCAAAGUCGGCUGGGAUGAAUGCAUUCCAAAGCCAUAUCAGAAGCAGUGGGAACAAUGGCUAAACGAUCUUCUGGUCUUGAACAACAUUUCCGUUCCUAGGUGUCUGAGGCCACGGUCUUUCAGGAACGCAUUUUGCCAGCUCCAUCAUUUUUCUGACGGUAGUGAACGCGCCUACGGAACUGUCUCUUAUUUCAGAGUUGUCAACGAAGCAGGUGAUAUUCACUGUGGUUUUGUAUUCGGGCGGUCACGAUUGGCACCGUUGAAAGGGACGACUAUCCCAAGGAUAGAGCUAGCCGCAGCAACUUUGGCUGUGAAAGUGAACGCUAUGAUUCAAAGCGCGUUCCAAACCAAAAUUGAGUCAUGGUUUUGGACCGAUAGUACCACAGUUUUGCGUUAUAUUCGAAACGAGAAGACACGUUUUCACACGUUUGUUGCAAACCGACUAGCAGUCAUAAGGGAAGGCUCUUCGCCGAACCAGUGGAAGUAUGUUCAAAGUUCCCUGAAUCCUGCAGACAUUGCUUCACGUGGAGCAAGUGGGAAAGACAUCAGUAAGAACCAGGAGUGGUUCUCCGGCCCCGAAUUUCUGUGGAAAGAAAGCCACGAAUGGCCUUUGACGCCCAAUAAUUUGGGGGACAUAACAGAAGACAUUGAAGUGAAAAGAGAGCGCAAAAAGGAACAGCUUCCGAAUACUGAUCUGAGAGCGAACUGCACAAACGUCAUUACCGUGCUGGACGUACAUCCCGUAGAAACACUUCUUAGUUAUUACAGCAGCAGAUGGAAAGUGGUUAGAGCAAUAGCUUGGCUAUUGAGAGUUCGUCACAGACUAUUAUGUAAGGAAGCGCCUAGAGCUACGAGAAGAAAUUUGAGCAUCGAGGAGAUGGAAGCUGGGGAGCGAGAGAUAGUGAUUCAUGAACAAAUGGCAAGCUAUGCAUCGGAAAGGAAACAUUUGGCAGCUGGCAGACCUGUUCAACUAUCUAGUUCCUUGCAGAAACUUAAUCCAAUAUUACAAGAUGGCUUCGUCGUGGUUGGUGGGCGACUCGAACGUGCCUUGCUACCAGAAACGGCGAAACAUCCUAUCAUCCUCCCCGCAAGUUCUCGAUAUGCCACCAUGGUCAUUCAGGAUGUACAUGAGCAAUUGGGGCAUCAAGGACUGUCCCACGUUCUUACCACAGUGAGACAAAAGUUUUGGAUUAUACAUGGAAAUAAAGCUGUGAGAAAGGUUUUGAGUAACUGUCUUCACUGUCGAAGAAGAUUUAGUCAGCCAGAGAAUCAGAAAAUGGCCGAUUUGCCUAUCGAUAGGGUUCAGGCGUUGCAACCUCCAUUUACAAGUACUGGUGUCGAUUGUUUUGGACCAUUCUUCGUCAAACGUGGAAGAGGACAAGAAAAAAGAUAUGGCAUCAUUUUUACUUGUUUAGCAAUUCGCGCCGUCCAUCUUGAGAUGGCUGACAAUCUCUCGACAGAUUCAUUUAUUUGUGCCUUAAAAAGAUUCAUUUCCCGUAGAGGCAAUGUGCAGGUGAUUCGGUCCGACAACGGCACAAAUUUUGUCGGAACAAAUAACGAAUUGAAAAGGGAAUGGAGAAAACUGCACUCUUCAGACGCAAUCUAUAACACACUAGCAAAACGAGGAAUCGAGUGGAUUUUCAACACUCCAGGUGCCUCACAUCACGGAGGGGUGUGGGAGAGAAUGAUAAGGUCCACGAGAAGAGUCCUCGAAUCCUUGCUCUCAUCGCAGUUGCUUACGGACGAGACGCUAAGAACUUUCUUAUGCGAAGCGGAAAGUAUUAUCAACAGCCGUCCAUUGACUCCUUUAACGAUGGACCCCACGGAUGCUGAACCGCUCACUCCCAACCAUUUACUGUUGCUUGCACCAGGGGGAGAUCUGCAAGCUGGAAUUUGGCAAGAAACUGAUAAUAUCAGCAUAAGAAGAUGGAAACAGGCCAGAUAUAUGACAGAACUUUUCUGGAAGAGGUGGCGAACCGAAUACCUGCCACUGUUGCAGAGCCGUCCGAGAGCAUGGACUCGAAGUAGAGGGAAUCUGAAAGAGGGAGACGUUGUACUCCUAGUUGACACAGCAGUACCAAGAGGGCAGUGGCCCAUAGGAAGAGUGCAGACGGUAAAAACGAGUCUAGACGGUCUGGUAAGAUCGGUUACGAUUCUCUGUCGCGGGACACAGUUGACGAGACCUAUCCAAAAGUUGGUGAAACUACUAUCAGAAGACGAAACAUCGUAGGACUGAUCCGCAGACACAUUGCCCAUGAUGUCUAGUUACAUUGUCAGAAAUUGUCAGAUGCGGAUUGACAAUUUAGAUAUACGGUUGUACACAUGGGCAUGUUGUAUCGCUGCGACGAUACAAAGGGGAGGGUGUUAUCGGCGAGGAUCUUUGUCGAUAACCGGCACAUGCUGCCGAGCUCGCGAUUUUGCUCUUCACUAAUUUUAUUUGGUUUGUGGUGGAUUAAAUUUGUAGACCCUUAGAAUGGAUCGGUAAGGACUUAAGUUAUUUAUUUGGAAAAUUGUAUGCUACGUUUUGGUUAAGUUUAUUUACGUUAUUUGUCUCUGUAAAACGUGCUACGACGUCAAAACAAACACCUGUGACCGAAACGAACAACGAAAACGAUACGAAGAAGCGAUUUGAGACAAAGCGACCCGCGUCUGUAUGAUAUUCUUGAAACCGUUGAAAUACAUGUAGUACGUUCAUCGCGUUAGUCAAGAGGACGUGGGGCCGCUACAAUUAGACUGCCUACAAGAACAAGUUCUACCACGAUCAGCUCCAAAACAGCUGAAGAGAAAUGCGCACCCAUUUCCAGAAAGUGCUAGAGCGUACUUGGAAGACGCGGUACGUAGCCUUCGUGACCACCGUAACGUUUUGCAGAGCAGACUGGGUGGUAUUCAGCUGCCUCAUCAUAUGGUUGAGAUUCUUCAACAACAAGCUGUGGAUCAUCGUGCGCAUCUUCAGGCGUUGGUGACCCAGCUCUGUGAAGAGAGCGCUUGGAAGAAUGUGGGAAACCGUGAUUUGAUAACAAACUUGUCGAGCAGAGCUCUCUCUGAAACUGAAACUGAAGUCUUGUCGCUAGGUCUGAAGUUCGCGGUGGGAUCUAAUAAGCAGCCUCUGGUAGAAACAGUUAUGAAAAACUAUAGAUACAACGAUACUGAUAUCGACAAGGGCUUUAUCCAAGGGCUUACGACCAGCUGCGCAGCAUUCUCCAAGCACACGAACUCUUCUAUGCCUCGACGGUAUCUAAGCGCACUCAAAGAUCUUGCUAAAGACGAAAGCAUAAUUGUGACCACGGCAGAUAAGGGAGCUGGAGUAGUAUUAAUGGACUAUGAUAACUACAAGACUAAAAUGUCCGAUUUACUGAGCGACACUUCUACCUACAAGGAAGUACCCAAGGGCAGCGCAGAGAAGGACGCCAAGCGCUUCAAUCAAAAAGUGAGGAAGAUUCUGAACGGCUCCACAGAGGGUAAGAAGCUUCAGUAUCACCCCAAGUAUGUAUGGCCUUCCAAAAACACAUAAGUCGGGGAACCCAAUGCGCCCUAUAACCUCGGGUGUGGGAAGCGCGCCGCAUCAGCUGGCCAAAAAGCUUGCUAAGCCGCUAUCGGACCUUUUGGGAAAAACAAGCGGAACCCACCUUCGAAACUCUGGUGACUUGCUGAACAGAAUAAAGGAUGAAAGAAUGAAUGACAAAAAACUAGCAAGUUUUGAUGUGAAAUCGCUUUUCACAAAUGUCCCCUUACAAGAUGCCAUGGAAGCAGUAAGACGAGCACUGGACGAUAACCAGGACAUUGCACUGCCAGUGCCGAAAGCGGACUUCAUUCGCCUAGUCCGACUUUGCGUUGAGUUUGGCGCCCUGGAAUUUGAAGGCAAUGAAUACAAACAAAUAGACGGUCUGGCGAUGGGCUCCCCUCUUAGUCCUGUGCUCGCGUGUAUCUUCAUGGAAACGUUAGAAACGGAUCAUUUUCUGAACAUCGUCGGUCAAAGCACCACAUGGCUAAGGUACGUGGAUGACAUUCUGGUUAUAGUGAACAAGCAACAAGAUUUAGACAGUGUUCUUCGAAAGCUCAACGACGUGCACCCGAAAAUACAGUUCACCUGCGAACAGGAACAAGAUGGCAAGCUCCCUUUCCUAGACACACUGAUUUGGAACCGAGAAUCAAGACUGAUGUUUUCCGUAUACCGGAAACCGACCAACAAGAAUGACUUUAUCCAUUUUUAUUCGUCGCACAGUCAAAGAACGAAGACUGGAGUCGUUUUGGGAUUUUAUCUCAGAGCGUUUCGCAUCUGUUCAAAGGAAUAUUUACAGAACGAGCUAGAGUACAUUAGGACAACUUUUACCAAACUCAGCUACCCUUUGGGUCUUCUCCUUCAGCUAGAAAAGAAAGCUAUAAAGAUCCGCUCAAGAUCCUCCAAUUCAAAUGCCACGAAAAGAAAGGAAUAUAUAUCAGUACCUCUGUCAGAAUAAUCUGAAGUGAUCACAAGCUUUACCAGGGGAGCCUUAAACAUUACAUCUCCAUCGGGUUCAACAAUUAAGGAUAUUUUACGGCGCAAGAAGAAAGCAAGCAACCAAAACAGUGUGGUUUAUAAAAUUCCAUGUGGCGUUUGUGAAAAAAGCUACAUAGGGGAAACAUACAGGGGUGCAGCUAAACGGGUAGAGGAACACAAAAGAGAUUUGCGGAAUCACCAAGAAUCUAACGCCAUAGUGCAGCAUGUGGAUGACGCGGGGCAUUUGCCAAACUGGUCGGCGAUGUCAAACCUAUGCGUGGGAUUAAAUAAGCGUAACCGACAGGCGGUGGAAGCAGCGUUUAUUUCUACGAUUAGUAAUUUCAAUGGGAAUUCGGGUAAAGUAAAACUCAGCAAGCACACUGCUCAAUUAAUUUUGAAAAAUGAUUUCAGGAAGUAGGGGUUCCGGGCGAAAAGCAGUGUAACGUUUUCAGUCAUGUAUAGAAUUGCUAAUCUGUGAGUGUCUGUGAACGUCCCCAUUCGACCCCGUUCGACCUCGAUUGUAUUUCGAUAUAGGUAGUUAUUUUUAUAUGGUGUGACCAAGGGAUUAUUCCCGAAACACAUGUGUAACCAAUUUUAAUAUAAAAACAACACGUUCC